Molecule: ribosomal RNA, 989 nt
Filed under: Antrodiella sp. Yuan5757
Lineage: Eukaryota; Fungi; Basidiomycota; Agaricomycetes; Polyporales; Steccherinaceae
Description: eukaryotic LSU rRNA
Rfam family: Eukaryotic large subunit ribosomal RNA
Source: RNAcentral
AAAGGGGAGUAGACUAACAGGAUUCCCCUAGUAACUGCGAGUGAAGCGGGAAAAGCUCAAAUUUAAAAUCUGGCAGCUUUGGCUGUCCGAGUUGUAGUCUGGAGAAGCGUUUUCUGUGCUGGACCGUGUACAAGUCUCUUGGAACAGAGCGUCGUAGAGGGUGAGAAUCCCGUCUUUGACACGGACUCCCAGUGCUUUGUGAUGCGCUCUCAAAGAGUCGAGUUGUUUGGGAAUGCAGCUCAAAAUGGGUGGUAAAUUCCAUCUAAAGCUAAAUAUUGGCGAGAGACCGAUAGCGAACAAGUACCGUGAGGGAAAGAUGAAAAGCACUUUGGAAAGAGAGUUAAACAGUACGUGAAAUUGCUGAAAGGGAAACGAUUGAAGUCAGUCGCGUCGGCCAGAACUCAGCCUGGCUUUUGCCUGGUGCAUUUUCUGGUUGACGGGCCAGCAUCAAUUUUGAUCGCUGGAUAAAGGCCUUGGGAAUGUGGCACCUUCGGGUGUGUUAUAGCCCUUGGUUGUAUACAGUGGUUGGGAUUGAGGAUCACAGCAUGCCUUUACGGCCGGGGUUCGCCCACGUUCAUGCUUAGGAUGCUGGCGUAAUGGCUUUAAACGACCCGUCUUGAAACACGGACCAAGGAGUCUAACAUGCCUGCGAGUGUUUGGGUGGAAAACCCGAGCGCGCAAUGAAAGUGAAAGUUGGGAUCCCUGUCGCGGGGAGCACCGACGCCCGGACCAGACCUUUUGUGACGGAUCCGCGGUAGAGCAUGUAUGUUGGGACCCGAAAGAUGGUGAACUAUGCCUGAAUAGGGUGAAGCCAGAGGAAACUCUGGUGGAGGCUCGUAGCGAUUCUGACGUGCAAAUCGAUCGUCAAAUUUGGGUAUAGGGGCGAAAGACUAAUCGAACCAUCUAGUAGCUGGUUCCUGCCGAAGUUUCUCUCAGGAUAGCAGAAACUCAUGUCAGAUUUAUGUGGUAAAGCGAAUGAUUAGAGGUCU